AUUGAACGCUGGCGGCAUGCUUUACACAUGCAAGUCGAACGGUAACAGGCCGCAAGGUGCUGACGAGUGGCGAACGGGUGAGUAAUGCAUCGGAACGUGCCCAGUCGUGGGGGAUAACUACUCGAAAGAGUAGCUAAUACCGCAUACGAUCUAUGGAUGAAAGCGGGGGACCGUAAGGCCUCGCGCGAUUGGAGCGGCUGAUGUCAGAUUAGGUAGUUGGUGGGGUAAAGGCUCACCAAGCCAACGAUCUGUAGCUGGUCUGAGAGGACGACCAGCCACACUGGGACUGAGACACGGCCCAGACUCCUACGGGAGGCAGCAGUGGGGAAUUUUGGACAAUGGGCGCAAGCCUGAUCCAGCAAUGCCGCGUGCAGGAAGAAGGCCUUCGGGUUGUAAACUGCUUUUGUACGGAACGAAACGGCUCUGGUUAAUACCCGGGGCUAAUGACGGCACCGUAAGAAUAAGCACCGGCUAACUACGUG
This 482-nucleotide ribosomal RNA is filed under the name uncultured bacterium. RNAcentral describes it as "partial 16S ribosomal RNA". It matches the Rfam family "Bacterial small subunit ribosomal RNA", at positions 30 to 507 of the family's 1533-position model. The record is from RNAcentral.